Molecule: non-coding RNA, 31 nt
Filed under: Rattus norvegicus (Norway rat)
Lineage: Eukaryota; Metazoa; Chordata; Mammalia; Rodentia; Muridae
Source: RNAcentral
UAGGAUUCAGAUUGGACAGAGAGCCUUCUGU